AACUUUUGGCAAUGGAUCACUUGGCUCUCGCACCGAUGAAGAACGCAGCGAAAUGCGAUAAGUAAUGUGAAUUGCAGAUUUUCAGUGAAUCAUCGAAUCUUUGAACGCACCUUGCGCCCCUUGGUAUUCCGAGGGGCAUGCCUGUUUGAGUGUCAUUGAAAUAUCAACCUUGGGUGGAUUUGCUUCCUCUCCGAUGGUUGGACUUUGGAGAGUGCUGGCGUCAGGUCGGCUCCUCUUAAAUGCAUCAGCGGAAAACUUUGACCUCUGGACGUCAGCGUGAUAAUCACGUUGCGCUGUCGACCGAGGUGUCAUCAUAAGGACCCGCUUCUAAUGGUCUUCGGACAGGACAUCAAAUUUGACCUCAAAUCAGGUAGGACUACCCGCUGAACUUAAGCAUAUCAAUAAGCGGAGGCU
This 414-nucleotide unclassified non-coding RNA is filed under the name uncultured Piloderma. Its description in RNAcentral is "sequence contains ITS2". The stretch from base 1 to 155 matches the Rfam family "5.8S ribosomal RNA". Lineage: Eukaryota; Fungi; Basidiomycota; Agaricomycetes; Atheliales; Atheliaceae. The record is from RNAcentral.